Pristis pectinata (smalltooth sawfish) is the source of this 694-nucleotide long non-coding RNA. RefSeq lists it as uncharacterized. NCBI's taxonomy places the organism in Eukaryota, Metazoa, Chordata, Chondrichthyes, Rhinopristiformes, Pristidae. The transcript is spliced from 4 exons. The record is from RefSeq and is a predicted model, not a curated record.
UUUUGGAAGAGCAGUUUCUGUCCUUGAUAUAUGUAAGCUUUUUACCGAGCUGCCUCUUCUGUCUGAAUUCAUUAUGCUGUGGAGAUCUGAGACCACUCAUUGCUUAGAUGCUCCGGUUUCCUCCCACUUCCCAGAUGUGCAGGUUGAUGGAUUCAUUGGCCACAGUAAAUUGCCCCCAGAUCUUUGGGGUGGAGUACUGAACAAAGGUCAGCUGCUUUCCUAGAAAGCCUGGCAACCAUGGGAAGGCCGUAGUAGAGAGUUCUUCGGAAUGUUGAGCACUUCUCCGAAUAACCGUGGCUCGAGUGAACAAUUGGAGCUCCCCUCGCACGCCCCCAGGGUGUUUGAUCCAGAAUAUAGAGGCACCUUGCCAUCACGGGUCAAUAUUGAUGAGAUGCAGGGUUAAAUAUACUGAGAUGCUUACUCUUUAACAAACACCGAAAUCAGAACUGUCACAAGAAUCAAUAGAAAUACUCUGAAUACACAAACGCAUCUCUACGCUGGCAGCAAAACUGUGCUUUGGAAUAUCGUGUGCUUCACAAAAUGUUGAGUUUUAAUAUUUUAAAUCGUGCUGCAAAGAGCUAACAAUAAAAUGUGUAUUUUUUAACCAUAUUUGUGUAAGAUAUCGUAAUGCAGGACCGCGUAAACUGGACAGUUCUCUGUUAUUUGUUUCGCACGAAUUCACAUCAAGGCUAGA